This 1087-nucleotide long non-coding RNA is filed under the name Salvia miltiorrhiza (redroot sage). RNAcentral's name for it is "long non-coding RNA (SMIL_LNC007713)". The record is from RNAcentral. Lineage: Eukaryota; Viridiplantae; Streptophyta; Magnoliopsida; Lamiales; Lamiaceae.
UCUAAAGCUUCAAGAUGACUGGGAUUUGAUAUUCUCUUUGACAUUGUACGACAGUGAAUCAAUCUGUGAGCCGGAACCAGAUGCUCUCGAUGAGGGCGAAACUACAUAUCUAUGCACGUCCCCUAUCAAGGUAGCUUUCUUUGUGAUUUUGGUUUAUAAUCUAAUUCUGCAUAUUUAAUCCACAAUAAUUUAUAUCUUGUUGCAUGGACAAGCGUCGUGCAUUCGUAAGCCCUCAAACUACAAACUGCAACGACGUCGUUUAUUGUUUCGAUCAAACCCUUCUCCGAGGUUGCCUCUCUCUCUACACCUUCCAUUCUAUUCCCGUGAGUAUAUUCCGAUGCAUGCUACGCUUGGAUAGUUAUUUUUUCUGGGUAUUCUGUUUCACACUUUUGCUAAGCUUUCCCCAAUCUGCUUUUUUUCUGUAGUAUUACGCCAAGUUUCUAGCUUUGUGGAAUCUUUAGAAUUCAAGUGUUUCUUUUUAAAGAUAAGUUUAGAUUUUAAGUGUUAAUGCGUCAGAAUUUUUAGCAAUAUUGUUUCAUAUAUUAUGGUUUUAUUUUUGCCUAAAAUAUCUAUCAUGGUACUCUGUAUCUUCUGCUAUUGGCUUCUGCUAUGCUUCAUAUAUCAAUGGAUGUGCAUUUAUGGAACUUGAUUUACUUGAAAUUAGUAAGCUAUAUAGUUUUAACCAUCUUUCACGGAUUAUUUCAGCAACAUUCAACAUAACCUUCGUUUGUUUUUUACUGAGCGUGGAAUAUUUGGUUAAUUUGUUCUUCUCCCAUAGCCACUGAACCCUCUGAAGCUCUUGCUAUCAUAUCGUUAUUCUCUACUGCAGUUGCUAAUGCAGUGACCAUACCCACUCUGCUGCUAUUUCUCUCCCGCCUCUCUUGGAAAUAUCUCAUGCAAGCGCCGUGCAUUCAUAUUAGGUAAGCUUAUACACUACUCUACUGCAAUAUUGGAAAUCCUCAAUCCCUUUUUUCCGUGAGGUGAGGAUGAUGCAUCACCAUGUGAGAUAUCAGUAGAUUUUUUAUUUAUGAUUAUUCUAAACAUCUUAAGUUCUGAUUUUCCUGGUCCUAGCUUGCUUUAUGUGACC